RNAcentral lists this long non-coding RNA (3671 nucleotides) under Setaria viridis. RNAcentral's name for it is "long non-coding RNA (SVIR_LNC001856)". The record is from RNAcentral. Lineage: Eukaryota; Viridiplantae; Streptophyta; Magnoliopsida; Poales; Poaceae.
CUGAUGAGGACAUCACAUGCUCGGAUACAACCAUAUUGGCAUCUUUUGACUCCGAGGUGAAGCAAUUCUUUAUCAUAAUUAUAUGUGAUACAUUUGAUGAAUUGAUGCUGCACCAUGAUGUGUAUUCGUUGUCAAUUUCAGAAAUACAUACAUGGAUCAAAAAUAGUGUUAAACACACAUGGAAGGCAUGGAGUACCAAAGAAGUAGAUUGGGGGCCAAGUCCAAGUAUUCCUAACGUCCUCCACCAGGCCACCACGUCACUUUUGGCCCAAGGAAAGAAAGAGAUCCAAUCCAACACGUUUUGGUGCUGGAUUCGGACUACAGUUCUGGCCCAAUUUGCAACGACCGCCAUGACCUCAUCCGGACUCCGUUUUGGGCGUUCAAGUACUCCUUGGAAUCCUUAUGAAGUCUAUUUUCAUAUGGAUCUGGACUCAUGUCCAUAUCUAUUCUGAGGAGGCCGCAAUACACGAAAUACUACCGAAAGGUUUUCUGUCCACAAGUGCUGCGUCGCCCUAUUUUGGCCCGAUGGGCCAUGUAUCAAGUUGGGUCCAUUAGGGACGUGUCCUAGGGUUGGAGCACGACCCCAACACCCCCCUGGUCGUCCUCCUAGGUAUUAAUAAGGAUUAGAGCCGCCACGAACAGAUUGGGUUUUGUUUUGAUGUAAGUUUAGCCAUUGCUACUUCCUUGUAGACGCGUGUGUCGACUAGACCAUCCGUUCUACUCGAUUCGGAACCCCAACUUUGUGAGUUCAGAUUGGUUUCCAUCUCUAUAUUUGCAAUUGAGUUGCUUGUUAUACUUGUUCUUGCUAGUUCUUCGAUUGCUUGCAGGACGAGUGCCCUAGUGGCCGGGUGACGCGCUCCACAAGAUCGCGGCAGCCAUUGGAGGUGGUGUAUCGGUUGCUAAGGCGCAGCUUGGAAGGCUGUAGUCGGGCCGUGAACGUCGUCUCCAUCCAACAAUCGAGUUAUCCACGCCUCUCUCAUCGAAAGAUCGGGAAUCAACCCUAGCGGGUUCAUAUCAGUUGGUAUCAGAGCAUGUGAUGUCAUAUCAGUUGGUAAUCAGAGCAAGGUUUAUCGGUGAGAGACUUCUAGUUCUUUGCUGUUUUUAAUUUCCUAUAGUCCAGAAAAAGCCACAAAAUUAGUAGAUUAGUUUACUCGCAAUCCUAUAAACCCUUUGAGCCUUUGCUAGCACUGCUUAGUUAGGGCUUGUUGAGUUUUUGGUUGCAUCGGUUGUGUCGAGUUGCUGGUCUUAGUUUUAGUCCUUUAGAGUUUUGAGUUCUUGUCAUGUUCCAGUCACAGCCGUGUGCUACCAUAUAAAACCUUCUGUUGGCUGAAUCUGAAUACAUGUUUGUGUUCAAGUCUGAGUCCUACUCCGAGUUUGUUUAAGAUCAAAUCCCACGUGGUGCUGAGUUCAAGUUGGAAUCGGUUUGGAGUCCGAAUUGACAGCUGCCCUGUUGCUGUCUUGAGUCCAAAUCUGAUUUCUAUCCUUUCAGAAAAAGUUUGUGUGGUGUGUGACUCUUGUGAAGUCCUUUUGUUCAUAUAAUCAGAUUUGAGGAUCCCCUGAAAAAGAAGAAGAAGAAAAAAAACAGAAGAAAAAAAAAGGAAAAGAAAGACAAAAAAAAAAACAGGAAGAAAAGGGGCUGUUCGUUGUGCUUCCCUGUUGUUUUUCGGUGGUGUGUUGUGACUUCCUUUGUGUCCAGGCUCGCGUCUCUAGCACGGUCUAGGCUAGGACCAGCACAGUACCACCGUUGAACUAUUAUUCAGCUUGCUUUUGUGACUAACGUGGUGCUAGUAUAUUUCCUUGCUUUAGCCCACCUAGAGCUCCACAUAUUCGACUACAGCUUGACAGGCUUUUGUUGCUGCGGCAUCGAUACACUUCACUCCAUGGUUGCAGACUUGUUGGUUGCCGUCACCUCCUGUUUGGCUUGGUAAGAACUUGUAAGGGCUUGUUUUUACAAGUUGAGUUUGAGAGAAUUACAACCAACACAUCAUAGUAGUUGACAGGAGGAUACAUAUUAUUUUUGUGUUUCUUGUUUCCUACUAACCAUGGCAGGUGAUACGGAGAUUUUGGAGCUGAUGAAACUAGACUCUCAUAUUCAGGGUGUUAUUCAACACUUGCCGUUAUAUGAUGGUAAGUUUGAUCCUAAAGCUUACAUUGAUUGGGAGAUAAAAGUAGAUAAUGAAUUUGAUGAGCAUGACCUGUCCGAGAAACAAAAGAUUUAUAUUGCCUCUAAUAUUUUGACUGAAUUUGCCUUGCUACAAUGGAAACACAUUUGUCGGCGUAAGAAAGUUCUAGAAUCUUGGGAAGACUUUAAAUUUCUUUUUAGAGAUGCAUUCAUUCCUGAAUAUUAUGCUGAUUAUUUGCUUGCUAAAUUAGACAACUUGAGGCAAGGUAGUAGGACUGUGAAACAAUACUUCCAUGAUUUUAAAAUUUGUAUCAUGUAUGGUGGAUUAGAUGAAUGCAUGGAAGAUGUCAUGAGUAGGUUCAUGAGAGGGCUCAAUUCUGAAAUUCGAACUUUGUUAAUUAGCAAAUCAUGCAUGCAUCUUGCUCAAUUGUAUUGUCUUGCUCUCAAUGCUGAAAAGGAGAUUCUAUUAUCUGUGAAUACUUGCAAGAAUGAUGUGACCCAUUAUAUCCAAAAUUUGUCCACUCUCCAUGCUAAUGAAGAGCAAAAAAUAGUGGAACCCAUUGCUAAUUUUCCUUUGUCACAAAAUGAAUUACUUGCUGUUCCUUGUGAUAAAGAGGACUUGUGUGCUGAUGAUUCUUUUACUUCUAUACCACAAGUAGUGAAUAAGUGUGAUACUUUUGGUUUGGAAUCAUACAAAUGUGCUGAAGAUAAGCUUUUUCAUCCUAUUACUUGUGCACAAGAUGAACUGAAUUUGCUAUCCUCUUUAAAUACUUUGGGUUACAUUGAAUUUGAUGUUUUGUGUAAUCUAAAUUGUCUAAAAGAGAAACUUCAAUUUGGUUCUGGUUUGCCAAGUUUUAAUCAUUGUUUGCUUCAUGCAAUUGGCAAAUAUGAUAGCAAAGGAGAAUAUUUGGUGCAUAAAGUUUAUGUUUGCUCCACUCUGAAAUAUCCUUUUGGGCUACAAUACCAUGAUCAAAUAGAGGGCUGCACUAACACUAAUAAUGUCUUGCAAAGUUUUUCUAGUUUUUCCCAUAUGCAACAGGGUAAGACCAAAGAAGGGGAGCAUUACUGGUUGUGGCCAUGCAGCAUGGCCGUCGCUCCGUGCUCCAACAUCAAAACAAGCACCUUAGAAUGCCACUGGAGCAAGUCGAGGACGACUUGCAGCCAAGAAGGGGAGAAUGAUGAGGACAUCACAUGCUCGGAUACAACCAUAUUGGCAUCUUUUGACUCCGAGGUGAAGCAAUUCUUUAUCAUAAUUAUAUGUGAUACAUUUGAUGAAUUGAUGCUGCACCAUGAUGUGUAUUCGUUGUCAAUUUCAGAAAUACAUACAUGGAUCAAAAAUAGUGUUAAACACACAUGGAAGGCAUGGAGGACCAAAGAAGUAGAUUGGGGGCCAAGUCCAAGUAUUCCUAACGUCCUCCACCAGGCCACCACGUCACUUUUGGCCCAAGGAAAGAAAGAGAUCCAAUCCAACACGUUUUGGUGCUGGAUUCGGACUACAGUUCUGGCCCAACUUGCAACGACCGCCACGACCUCAUCCGGACUCCGUUUU